AGGAUAAACGCUGGCGGCGUGCAUGAGACAUGCAAGUCGAACGGACGAUCAGGGCUUGCUCUGAUCGUUAGUGGCGGACGGCUGAGUAACGCGUAGGUGACCUGCCCCGAAGUGGGGAAUAACUGCCCGAAAGGGUGGCUAAUACCGUAUGUGGUGGUGUGUUCAUUCACACCAGUAAAGCCGCAAGGCGCUUCGGGAGGGGCCUGCGUCCGAUUAGCUCGUUGGUGGGGUAACGGCUCACCAAGGCGACGAUCGGUAGGUGGUCUGAGAGGACGAUCACCCAGACUGGGACUGAGACACGGCCCAGACUCCUACGGGAGGCAGCAGUCGGGAAUUUUGCGCAAUGGACGAAAGUCUGACGCAGCAACGCCGCGUGAGGGAUGAAGGCCUUCGGGUUGUAAACCUCUUUUAUCAGGGAGAUAAUGACGGUACCUGAUGAAUAAGUCACGGCUAACUACGUGCCAGCAGCCGC
RNAcentral lists this ribosomal RNA (472 nucleotides) under uncultured bacterium. RNAcentral's name for it is "SSU rRNA". It matches the Rfam family "Bacterial small subunit ribosomal RNA", at positions 26 to 518 of the family's 1533-position model. The record is from RNAcentral.